GGGCCAUUGGCCUAGUACUUGGAUAAGGCGUUCGGCUUCGAACCGAAAGAUCACAGGUUCGACCCCUGUAUGGCUCG
This is a transfer RNA of 77 nucleotides. It matches the Rfam family "tRNA". Rfam says of the family: Transfer RNA (tRNA) molecules are approximately 80 nucleotides in length. Their secondary structure includes four short double-helical elements and three loops (D, anti-codon, and T loops). The record is from Rfam.